This 75-nucleotide transfer RNA is filed under the name Candidatus Pantoea deserta. RNAcentral's name for it is "Pantoea sp. RIT388 tRNA-Met". It matches the Rfam family "tRNA". Rfam says of the family: Transfer RNA (tRNA) molecules are approximately 80 nucleotides in length. Lineage: Bacteria; Pseudomonadati; Pseudomonadota; Gammaproteobacteria; Enterobacterales; Erwiniaceae. The record is from RNAcentral.
GGCCCCUUGGCUCAGCGGUAAGAGCGUCCAAUACAUAAUUGGCAGGUCGCUGGUUCAAAUCCAGCGGGGCCACCA